UGUCAUUAUCCGGGUUGCCCUGAACCCUUUUUUAUGCGUGUACAGUAAAGUUAUCUUACAGCUGCAGAACUGCCAUUUUCAGAGGAGGUUUCCAGAGCUCAUGUAUUCCAUCUCCCGUCUCCAACAGGAAAGACACAGGAUCUUGCCUCCAUCUUGCCCUUCUUCUCCACAAGAGCCCCAGACCCAGGAGAUGGCUGCAUUGACACUUUGGGGAGUACAAGGGACAAAUGUCAACACUGCUUCAAUGUGACUCCAGGGGAUCUACACCUUCUCUGGAAACUUUCAGAAUCGUCAUUUUUGUUUUUGGUUUCUUGGAACACACAUUUAUUUUCUUUUGAGCCUUCAUGGCAUGACACCAAAGGAAUGAAAAUUGGUACAAACUUCAACAAUGAAGAGAAUGUGAAGAAGGUCUGCAGAGGAUAAACGAUGGUGUGAUAUGUGGAUUACAGGAAGCAGGAGGAGGACUGAGGGCAGAUGAAGUGAGGUACACAGAGGAAGGUGCUGUGAAGACAGACACUCUGCAGGCAGUUGUCCAGGGCUAUUUUUCUUGAAGAAUUCUAGAAGGGCUCAGUACUAAGAACUAUAGAUUUGAUGGUGGACAAGCAGGAGAUACAGUGGAAACCCCCUUACUUCUUCACCCAGAGGUCAUGGCGGAAGGAUUGUUCCUCUCUAAAGAAAUUGAACAAGCUGCUCUUACUAGUAGUGUGGGAGCUAAUGCCACAUCUGGGUCUAUUUCUACUUAGCCUGAAAUGGAGCCCAAUAGUCAACCAUGCCUGCUGGUGUACACUGAAUUAAUGGUCAGUUUUGCCAGUCCCCUCAGUGAGUAGGUAUUUGAGAGAAUUAUGAUAUAUGAAAAAGAAACACUGCGAAAUAGAGAAAUGACCAAAAGGAAUACAAGAGAUAAUUCUGGGUAAAUACGGAGCUUGAAUAAAGUGAAUUUGUAUCCUCUAGAGAUAUUUAUAAAGACUCUACAUAAAUUAAAUAAGAAGAAAAAUCUAAUUAAAAAGUUGGAGGAUAAAAGUAGAGGAAAAAUAAAAGAAAAAGAUAUAUAUGAAAUGAUCAAUAAAAAUAUAACACUUAGAAUAAUCCAGGAUGGCCCAGUAGCUCAAUUGGUUAAAGGUUGUGGGUUUGAUCCCCAGUCAGGGCAAGAAGCAACAAAUGAAUGCAUAAAGUGACUUUCCACUAGGAUUGUAUAACUAGCAAAAGUAAUUGUGAAUUUUAAAGGCAGAAGAAAAGACAUUUGCAGACAGGUGCGAUGCUUACUUCUAUACGUUUAAAAAAUAAUUAACACAUUUUUUCAAUUAUAGUUGACAUACAAUAUUAUAUUAGUUUCAGGUCUACACAUCUUUUUAAGAAGGUCAUUUGAGAACACACUCCUGCAAGAUGAGGGUGUAAAAAGCAAACUAGAGGGAGAUGUAGGAUCUGGAGGCAGUAUCUCCAACCUCGAACAGUAGUGAAGAGAGAUACAGUUUUGCUGCAGGUCUAGUGAGAGACCAGUACAGAUUUUACAGCUGAAGAAAACACUAAUUUGUAUCCUCCACCAUCUAUGAAGACAUCAUAAGCACAGAAAAGUUAGUUCAAUGGACUGAGAUCACACAGUAGUAAGUAGCAAGUUAGCCAUCAGGACACAGCCAGGCUGACUUCCCAGCCUGAACUCUUACUCCUUAUCAUAUGUUGUUUUUUUUCUUGUAACUUAUCUUAAAGUGAAAUGUUUCCACUGGGAAAAUGAAAACAGCAGUACGUUCCAUGUGUGCAAAGCACUCAUUAAUUAGAGUCAGGAUGCAAAAAAAAGGCUAUGUAAAAUUGCUAAAUUAACAAAUAACUUUAGAGAAAUCAAGAAAUAGUUCCUAGAGAAAUGAAGGUAACCACCAGGAGAGAAAAUUUAGACUGAAAGGUGAUUUAGUUGAGGGAGAGGGCAUGGGCAGGAGGAAGAGGAAGGCAAGAGAUGGCUUCUUUGCAUGUUAAGUCUUCCUCACCUUUUAAAAAAUUAAAUUAUGUGAAGGUAUUACUUUGAAAAAAUUGUAAUGCUAUUUCUGUGUACUUUUAAAAUGGAAAAUAGGGCUUAUUUGGAAGAUAAACCACAUGAGCAAUUAUAACAAUAUGCAAAGGCAUGGAAGGGAAAAAGUUCAUGGCUUGGUGGAGAACAGUAUGGUUUAGAUGACUUGACCAUAGGGUGGUUGGGGGUUGGUAGGAGUCACUGUAGAUGACUCUGAAACAGUGGACCAGGACAAGGCUGUGGAAAGCAUCAAAUGCCAUGCUAAGAAAUUUGGAAUUUUCUUUGUUGGCCAUGGGACACUAUGAAAGAUUUUGAGCAGCGUGGUUCCAUCUGUGGUUUAGAAGGCUCAUCCCUAUGGCAGUUUGGAGCAAGGUUGAAAGUGUGGGAAUGACAGGACACAGGAAGGCCAGAGCAGAGGCAGUUCAACAAUUUAAGAGACUCUUACAGGCCUGAAUUAAGGCUUUCAACCUAUAAGGAAACUGAAGUUCCAGAAGUGUGGCUGUAAUAAAAAAAUCUU
Myotis myotis is the source of this 2513-nucleotide long non-coding RNA. RefSeq lists it as uncharacterized. The transcript is spliced from 3 exons. NCBI's taxonomy places the organism in Eukaryota, Metazoa, Chordata, Mammalia, Chiroptera, Vespertilionidae. The record is from RefSeq and is a predicted model, not a curated record.